UUUUGUAUCGAAAGACGAGGGACGUUUAAAGAAACGUUUUUCAAUUUUUUUAAGAGCCUCAGAUUUCUUAUAUAAGGCGCAGUUUCUGUUAAACAAACCACCAGUCUUCUACAGACCACAACGUAAAAAUGAACAAGUCAGCACUUCUCCUUUUGCUCGUCAUCGGACUCCUCGUUCUCACUGAAACCACUGAUGCGUGGCGACGUCGCGUCAGAUGGCAUACAUACAACCAAAAGUCAACAAGUGAUGAAGAAAAUGAUUCAAUGAUGGAUGCAGUGAGAGAUGCAGUUAUGCAAAAGCUCAGCCAACAGGAUGAAUAAUUAGCUUGCCUAUUCAGUGCAUUAUAAGAUGUUGAUUUGAAUAAAUUCAAAAGCAACAUUA
Non-coding RNA from Ciona intestinalis (vase tunicate), 381 nucleotides. The record is from RefSeq and is a predicted model, not a curated record. Lineage: Eukaryota; Metazoa; Chordata; Ascidiacea; Phlebobranchia; Cionidae.